GUUAUUUUAGUUUAAUUAAGAAUGUGCAACUUGUAAUUGUAUGGUUUAAAUAGCU
This 55-nucleotide transfer RNA is filed under the name Heligmosomoides polygyrus. RNAcentral's name for it is "tRNA-Thr". The record is from RNAcentral. Lineage: Eukaryota; Metazoa; Nematoda; Chromadorea; Rhabditida; Heligmosomidae.